AGUUCUCCUCUUAAUUGUCUACAUCAUAAAGAAAUUGUUUAAACACUAUCUUCUCUCUGAAACCACACUGAAUUGCAGUGCUUUAUAACUCAGUCAUAAAUUAAAACACAAGCCCUAAAAACCAACUCUUUCUUCAAUUCAACAUGAUAUUUGACAGUGGUGCAACAAUUAGAUACAAGUGGAGAAAAUAAAAACUUUCAACUACCACAAUUACACGGCAGUCAAGACACUUUUUGUUUUUUCAUCAAAUAAUCAAAUAUUCAAGUUUAGUUGCUUCUAACAAGACAAAAAGGUCGUAACAAUUGAUGCCUGCAUAUAUCUACCUCAUCAACAGUCUAGUGAAAUGGGGUUUCUAUCAUCCCCUUUCAUUUCCACCAAAAAAAAUAAAGUGCAAAUGGGGAAAAACCCAAAAUUCCAUCAAUCGUAAAAUUCACUAACAAUACCUAAAAUCAAAAAGUAAACUACCCCAUCAUCAAUCCCACGCAAAUCCAUCCAUACCUUUUCAAAUUGUUAGAAUCAAAUAAUCCAGUUACAUUUACCAAAAGAAGAGGAAAAGGGCAACCUUUAUCCUAAAACAAAAAUCCAAACAAAAAAAUAAAACGUA
This 604-nucleotide unclassified non-coding RNA is filed under the name Hevea brasiliensis (rubber tree). Lineage: Eukaryota; Viridiplantae; Streptophyta; Magnoliopsida; Malpighiales; Euphorbiaceae. The record is from RNAcentral.